GUUCUGAAAACUGCUCCACAGCUGUUGACGACAUGCAAAGAUGGUGUGCGAACCAAUAACUGUGUUUCACUCCGUACCCACCACUUGGUUCUGUCACACUGUGAAGUUUAGUUGCAACACCGUAACUAGGAAACAGUGGAGUCCUGUGGAUGACAACUUGGAUGAAAUGGUGAGACUGGAUGACAUCGCCGACCGAGGUGUGAGCUGACAGAAUGGAGAACUUGGCUUGAUCGGGAGACAGACGGGGAGAAUACCGUUUGGUGUUGUCAUCGUCUCGGUGAGUGUGCUGGCACGUGAAACGAGUGACGAAAGGACGUUGGUAUUGUUGUUUGUGAACCUGGCUGCCGUGGCUGGAUCGAAGCACCCAAAGUAACAAAGGCACAACAAGGACUGAGAAGAACCAGCUUGCUGUUCAAAUGCUCUCUCUGUGUGUAGUGGCUGUCGUGGGAACGUAUUUCGUUGCCACCUUGCUUAUGGUAUAAAGUUCGGUAGCCUUAACGCUGCCCUGUGUUGUAACGCCUGCCACUUCCCCUGUAGCUUAGCUCUUGAAACCCGUGUAAUUUAAAGAAAACAAGAAAAAUACUAAAAACCCACUUAGUAACCAUGUUUUAGCUCGUCUUUUUUUUUUACUAGAUACAGAAAGUGGCAAAACUAUGAUUGUUCUGUAGAAUAAUCUGUAAAAUAUACUGUGUGUUUCAUAAAAAUGACUUGUACAUAUGGACUCUUUGCAGACUUAAUUAAAAAUAAAUUAGUUUAAUUAACCGUCA
Cyclopterus lumpus (lumpfish) is the source of this 767-nucleotide long non-coding RNA. RefSeq lists it as uncharacterized. The record is from RefSeq and is a predicted model, not a curated record. The transcript is spliced from 2 exons. Lineage: Eukaryota; Metazoa; Chordata; Actinopteri; Perciformes; Cyclopteridae.